RNAcentral lists this ribosomal RNA (128 nucleotides) under Podospora comata. The record is from RNAcentral. Lineage: Eukaryota; Fungi; Ascomycota; Sordariomycetes; Sordariales; Podosporaceae.
UUCUUCCACAUUCCGAUGUCAACAAUAUACCCUUUCCGCAGUCUCCUAUCCACGCAGGUUAGCUACAUGAUCGCCAGAUCAGUACUCAGGUGGGUGACCACUGGGGAAUCCCUGGUGUUGUAUGUUUU